AAAGCAUAGUAACAAUACAGUGGAGAUCACUCCUUGGCCUUUUGGCUAAGAUCAAGUGUAGUAACAGUACAGUGGAGAAAAGCCCCACCCUGACUGAAGGAUAGAGAUGGCCAUCCCCCAGUGAG
RNAcentral lists this microRNA precursor (125 nucleotides) under Chlorocebus sabaeus (green monkey). RNAcentral's name for it is "miRNA (ENSCSAG00000020292.1)". The record is from RNAcentral. Lineage: Eukaryota; Metazoa; Chordata; Mammalia; Primates; Cercopithecidae.